RNAcentral lists this long non-coding RNA (263 nucleotides) under Nicotiana benthamiana. RNAcentral describes it as "long non-coding RNA (NBEN_LNC029533)". Lineage: Eukaryota; Viridiplantae; Streptophyta; Magnoliopsida; Solanales; Solanaceae. The record is from RNAcentral.
UUUGACUUGCUUCUCCCGUUGACUUUAGACUUACUUGAUGCUCUUGAUGCAACAGACUAUAAAAUAUUCUCGCAGGCUUGUUUCUCGAUCAGAUGAUAGGAAGAAAGAUCUUCGCCAUAUGUCUCUGCAUGCAUUACGUCAAAGCUGGUUGCGGCUGGUACUGAGAUCAAACGUUCCACUUUCUCUGGGGAGAGCUGGAAUCUUACUUUUUGCAUAUCCAAUCUGUGCUUUGCAGAAAAACCUACAAGCCAUCAAAAACAAAC